UUUCUAUGGAGAGUUUGAUCCUGGCUCAGGACGAACGCUGGCGGCGUGCCUAAUACAUGCAAGUCGAGCGGAGUUUUGAAAAGC
This 84-nucleotide ribosomal RNA is filed under the name Priestia endophytica. RNAcentral's name for it is "Bacillus endophyticus partial 16S ribosomal RNA". It matches the Rfam family "Bacterial small subunit ribosomal RNA", at positions 1 to 86 of the family's 1533-position model. Lineage: Bacteria; Bacillati; Bacillota; Bacilli; Caryophanales; Bacillaceae. The record is from RNAcentral.